Molecule: long non-coding RNA, 3017 nt
Organism: Oncorhynchus tshawytscha (Chinook salmon)
Lineage: Eukaryota; Metazoa; Chordata; Actinopteri; Salmoniformes; Salmonidae
Source: Ensembl
CAACGGAUGGGGCAUCUUGCUAAUGUGUGCAAAGGUAAAAUGAGCUGUGCAACGUGCGGUGGGGAUCACGAGUAUGGGAAAUGAUCAGAGAUGGAAACUCGAGUCGCGAUUAAGAAAAUAAAAUGACUUGCGACUUGAUUUAGACUUGUGAUCAAUUGACUUGUGACUUGACUUGGACUCUAGAUGAAAGACUUGUGAACAAUGCAAGUCAGUACUGGGAUAAGUUUUAGUUGUGCAUUCUGUCAGAUAACAUGGAAUAGGCGGCGUUGUAACACGGAGAAAGUAGUUUAAUACAGAGGGCUGAAAAGCGUUCUAGAACAUUUGCGUCAUUUGUACGUGACUGUAGUACUACAGCUGAACAAUCGUAAUCAGGAACGAUGUCAUCAGGUGGUGAAGCUUUUGUUAUUACAUUUGGUUACAAGAACCUGCAGUAUAAUGCCAGUGGCAAAAAAAUGAAAUGCUGUUUGCAAAACUUGUGGAAUUAACAUUAAAGAUGCUGGCGCAACUACAGUACAUCUAACUUCAUCCGACAUGUGAAAACUCACCGUGAAAGGUCAGUUAGGCUAGCUAUCUAACAAUGUUACAAUGUGAUUAGGCUAAUAAUAGCCUGUUUAGCAGAUGCCAACUUGAUAUAGCUAGCUUUAUUGUGUAUCAUCUUUUAGCUAACUGGAAAUGUAUUACUGCCAAAUAUUUCUUAAAAGGUUAAGAGGUGGGUUGUCAGAUAGCUAGACCUACUUGUUAGCAGAGAUUAUUAAAUUACAUCUCGGCGAUCUGCAUAUCACUCAGAUUUAAUAUACUUUCUGCUGUAGCCUGUUCCUAGGAAGUAACUUAGUAUAAAACCAGAGUUCAAAGCAUGCAACUUCUUGGACAUUUCUGCUGAAAAAUCCCAUAGACCAUAAAUAUUUGUUUGUGUCCUUGUACUUCCAUCUCAAGUCAGCAACAACUAUCCAUCAUGUUGUUCAUCUGCAGGUUCACUGAAUUCUGCAAAGCAAAGGUGACCAGCACAGGGACAGAAGGACAGAGCAGCGUGUAUAGCCAGGGGCCACCCCAGGCAGAAGGCUAUAACAGAGGCUAUACUGCAAGACCUGAUAAUUUCCUGCAACCUGCCUAUGUCCUUAGUGGACAACCCUCACUUUAGGCAUUUCAUGUCAGUGGUAGGUGACAAAUAUUGACCAGUAAGUAGGCCCACGUUGACCAGGUGCCUGCAUGACUUAACACUGAACAAAAAGGCUACAAUCAAAAGUGCCCUAGAACAGACAGAAUCAGUGUCUGUCACUGUAGAUAUAUGGACUGACAGGACCAUGAGGGGCUUCAUGGGAGUAAUGGCCCAUUACAUGGCCAUGGAAGAGGGGAAAAAAACACCCAUACUGGAGUAAGUUCUGUUGAGCUGUGAUAGAUUCACAUGGUCACUUACUGGGGAAAGAACAUUUGACAUUUAAUAUGUGAUAACUCUGAAAAUAUGAAAAAGGCCUUCAUAGUUUGUUUCCCCAAAGCAAUCAAUGAUGAUGAUGUGGAUAAACCCCAGCAUAUGGGAGGAAUUUGGUGAAGAGUACAAUGUUGAUGUAGAAGCUAUCCAAACCAACUGCAGGUAACAGCACUUACAGUGCUUUGCCCAUUCAUUACAACUGGUGAUUAGAGAUGGACUAAAGGAAACAAAAAUCAUAAACAGUGUGAUGUUUAAGGUAAAUAAACUUUGCAGCUUACUACACACUACCUGUUCUCUGACGGAAGCAUUUGAAGCCGAGUUCGGAGCCAAUCGUAGUAUCCCUGCUGCUGUGUCUACCAGAUGGAAUUCCAUCCUCCGGCUUGUUAAAGCAGCCACCAAUCUGAAUCAACAAAGCCUCAAUACGCUACUUGAGGCCCAAGGACACAAGGAACUCUGCUUAUCACAAAGGGAAUGGAGUCAGCUAUUGGAGCUAGUGGACAUUUUGGACCCUUUUGUCCAGGCCACCGACCUUACUCAGGGGGUUCUCUCAGUGCUGCCCUUCCUUGUGUACUGUCAACUAUCAUCUGCAAAGUAUACUGUGCACAAGUCAUCACCUACUCAGUCUAGUAAAAGCACUGCAGCAGUCACUCAAAUGCCAAUUCCAGGGGGUGUUUGUGAAUGUCAGAAUGGAGCACUUGGAUGAACAGGCAACAAAACUUACUUUGGUGACAAUGUAUACAUAAUGGCUGCACUGCACUGGACCCAUCUUUCUGCCUGUUCUGGCUUGAUCAUGAUGUCCUCAUACCACAUGAAGAUCAAGCUGAAUUGAAAGAGAGUCUGAUUAACCUAACCAGACGGCUGAGGCAUGGAAAGUCACCAUUAUGGAGAGCAGUAGUGGAGAAGAGGAACAACCACCUGCCAAAACCUCGACUGUUCUCUGGCCUCCUCAACAAGAUCAGCAUGAAGAAAGGAGACAAAGUCACCUGUCAAAGCAGAGAUUAUUAGCUACAUUGAAGUAUCUUCUGAUGAAAAGUAAGUUGAUUGCUUGGAUUUUUGGAGAAUCCAUGCAAAAGACUUUCCAAAACUCAAACAGGUAGCAAUGACAGUGUUGGCUGUGCCUGCCACCAGUGCCCCAGUGGAGAGUGUUUAGUCAUGGAGGCCUCAUCAUGCGCCCUCAUCGUGCCAGGCUCACUGCAAGAACGCUGACAAACUUGAUCUUUCUGAAAUGUAACCUGUCUGCAACAUAAAUAUUCUCUCUCUUAGGGCACAGGAUGUAAUUUGCUACUUGUUACAGGAAAUUGUAUUUAUGUUAAGUGUCCAGGUUAGUAAGUAUAUUUUAGGGAUAAAGGUCAUUAUGUUUGAUAUAUAGGACACUUUAGUAGUGCAGUUAUUGAACAGUUGUCAGUCAUUUUGGUUUACAUUCAUGCUUGUCAUUUAUCUUCCCUCACCUACAGAUUCUGUUUGUGUGACACAAAAUACCAUGCACUUUAAAAUGUUAUGUUUGCUUUUUUAAAUAUUCGGUACAAUUACUUUUAUUAAAUGUAAACUGUCUACAUUUUAAAAGGAAAUGUAUUUGGAUUGAAAUAGUGCC